GCGGGCUGGCAAAGGUGCUCUAGGACUUGGGAGCAUUCACGGGAGAUCCCGGGAAGGAAAGAGAGUCGAGACGCGGGAGCUGGGAGAUGGGCGGCCGGAACCGGAUUGGGCAGGGCACUGGGGGCGGGAACAGAACUGCGGAAGCAGGAGUGGGACCGAAGACCUUCCACCCUGACACCCUAGCCAGCCCCGCGUCCCCACCCGACAGCAGAAGCUCGCCUAGUCAUGGCUCUCAGCCUGGAAGUGACCGCCAAGAAAUCGCUCGACAUCCAGGCCCAGCGCCCAACCUGGAUGAUCACCAGCACCAACGUGGCUUUGGCCCGAGGGUCCAAGAGAAAGAGACGGAAUUUCACUCUUGUCGCCAGGCUGCAGUGCAAUGGCGUGAUCUCAGCUAGCUGCAACCUCCACCUCCCAGGCCAAGCUGGGGGUAACGCCACCUGUGACCAGCUGAAUGCCCGGUAGAAGUGUACCAGGGGAGCCCACCAGUAUCUCCACACAAUCAUGGGACGAAAAUCGUGGUUUUACUUCGCGACUUCAGGAUGAGCCCUAUGGGAACCAGCAGCCCCCCACCCACAAACCAGAUAGCCGCUCCGGAGCCCGCAGCUCAGCCCCACUGGGAGGGCCUGCGGCUAAUGCAAGGAUUCUGACCAAUGCGGUCUAAAGAGAAUGAGAGAGGGGGCUGCGGCCCGAGAAACUGAGGCAAAG
RNAcentral lists this long non-coding RNA (705 nucleotides) under Aotus nancymaae (Ma's night monkey). Its description in RNAcentral is "lncRNA (ENSANAG00000039149.1)". Lineage: Eukaryota; Metazoa; Chordata; Mammalia; Primates; Aotidae. The record is from RNAcentral.